GAUGAACGCUGGCGGCGUGCUUAACACAUGCAAGUCGAACGGGGUUAUGCAGAGCGGAGAUUUCGGUCAAAGCACUGCAUAACCUAGUGGCGGACGGGUGAGUAACGCGUGGGUAACCUGCCAUAUACAGGGGGAUAACACUUAGAAAUAGGUGCUAAAACCGCAUAAGCGCACAGCAUCGCAUGAUGCAGUGUGAAAAACUCCGGUGGUAUGAGAUGGACCCGCGUCUGAUUAGCUAGUUGGUGGGGUAACGGCUCACCAAGGCAACGAUCAGUAGCCGACCUGAGAGGGUGAUCGGCCACAUUGGAACUGAGACACGGUCCAAAUCCUACGGGAGCAGCAGUGGGAAUAUUGCACAAUGGGGGAAACCCUGAUGCAGCAACGCCGCGUGAAGGAUG
RNAcentral lists this ribosomal RNA (398 nucleotides) under uncultured bacterium. Its description in RNAcentral is "bacterial SSU rRNA". It matches the Rfam family "Bacterial small subunit ribosomal RNA", at positions 28 to 410 of the family's 1533-position model. The record is from RNAcentral.